Molecule: ribosomal RNA, 229 nt
Filed under: uncultured bacterium
Lineage: Bacteria
Description: partial 16S ribosomal RNA
Rfam family: Bacterial small subunit ribosomal RNA
Source: RNAcentral
CGCGUAGGCGGUUUGUUAAGUCAGCUGUGAAAGCCCUGGGCUCAACCUGGGAACUGCAGUUGAUACUGGCCGACUAGAGUACGAGAGAGGGAGGUAGAAUUCCACGUGUAGCGGUGAAAUGCGUAGAUAUGUGGAGGAAUACCGGUGGCGAAGGCGGCCUCCUGGCUCGAUACUGACGCUGAGGCGCGAAAGCGUGGGGAGCAAACAGGAUUAGAUACCCUGGUAGUCC